Molecule: long non-coding RNA, 858 nt
Filed under: Anser brachyrhynchus (Pink-footed goose)
Lineage: Eukaryota; Metazoa; Chordata; Aves; Anseriformes; Anatidae
Description: lncRNA (ENSABRG00000006585.1)
Source: RNAcentral
GCAGGUUUCUUCUUUCUGGAUCAGAAGACUUCAGUCUGGUGUAAAUCUAAAUGGAACAACAUAUGGUCAGAGAUCAUACCACGGAUCAUUGGUUCUAGCAUAAAAGAAUCCUGCAAAGUCAAGCUACAAACACAAAUUUGGGCUGGAUAUAUGAAAGUUCAAAUUUGGAGAACAAGGAGAUAAAACCAGGAUGUGAGAUAUGAGAUAUACUACUUACCAGCCAGACAUCCAGCAAAUACGUUGUAGUCUUUUUGAGGAUUACAGACGAAAACUCCUUAUGCGCUGUUUCCAUUCCCUUGUGGGGAAGAGCACUACAAAGACUGGCUCUGCUAUAUCAUCUGGGAACAAAGACAAGACACUCCCACUUCUUGCUAUCUCUCACUCAAAACUAAACUCAGGUGGAAAUAUCAUUCCUUGUGUAUUGCUUUGAUUAGUGGGAUGAUAUUGGGUCCAGGGCUAAAUGCUUAAAUACUUUAAUACAUAUUUUUUAAAGCAUUGGAUUUACUGGAACUCUUUUCUCCUGACUAUUAAUAUGAGUAUAAUGGUCCCGAUUGUUUUGUCACAUCUAUGCUACACAACCGGAGCCUACAUUUGAACUGAGGCUGACUUUAAUUAUCGAAUUAACACAAUUUCAUGGUUGAUAUGCUUCUUUCUCACCUCUGGGCUUUAUAUUUACUGGUCUGCUGUGAUCUUUUUGCCUAUUGGUGCAAGAAGAAAUUAAUGCAUUUUCUUGUUGCUCAUGCGUUACUAUCCAGAACAAUUACAAAUUAAAUUUUACCUAAAGAAAUAUAGUCCUGGAUCAGAACUUUUUCUUACAGCUCCUUACAUUUAAAAAUAAACGAAACCUUUCAUUAAACA